RNAcentral lists this ribosomal RNA (467 nucleotides) under uncultured bacterium. RNAcentral describes it as "bacterial SSU rRNA". It matches the Rfam family "Bacterial small subunit ribosomal RNA", at positions 27 to 507 of the family's 1533-position model. The record is from RNAcentral.
GGACGAACGCUGGCGGCGCGCCUAACACAUGCAAGUCGAACGAGCGAAGAGGAGCUUGCUUCUCUGAGCGAGUGGCGAACGGGUGAGUAACGCGUGAGGAACCUGCCUCAAAGAGGGGGACAACAGUUGGAAACGACUGCUAAUACCGCAUAAGCCCACGGCUCGGCAUCGAGCAGGGGGAAAAGGAGCAAUCCGCUUUGAGAUGGCCUCGCGUCCAAUUAGCUAGUUGGUGAGGUAACGGCCCACCAAGGCGACGAUCGGUAGCCGGACUGAGAGGUUGAACGGCCACAUUGGGACUGAGACACGGCCCAGACUCCUACGGGAGGCAGCAGUGGGGGAUAUUGCACAAUGGGGGAAACCCUGAUGCAGCGACGCCGCGUGGAGGAAGAAGGUUUUCGGAUUGUAAACUCCUGUCGUUAGGGACGAUAAUGACGGUACCUAACAAGAAAGCACCGGCUAACUACGUG